AUUGAACGCUGGCGGCAUGCCUAACACAUGCAAGUCGAACGGCAGCACGGGAACUGGUUCCUCUUGGCGGGGGGGGGACGGGGGAGUAAGACAUCGGAAUAGGACUCGACGUUGGGGAGGGGGCGGCGAUAGCCGGAGUAAUACCGCAAACGCACACGGGAUGAAAGAGGGGGAGGGGCAUGCUCGGCGCUUGCGGGCUGGCCGGUGGCGGAUUAGCUAGUGGGUGGGGGAAAGGCCCACCAAGGCGACGAUCAGUAGCUGGUCUGAGAGGAAGACCAGCCACACUGGAACUGAGACACGGUCCAGACUCCUACGGGAGGCAGCAGUGGGGAAUAUUGGACAAUGGGCGCAAGCCUGAUCCAGCCAUGCCGCGUGUGUGAAGAAGGCCUUCGGGUUGUAAAGCACUUUUGUCGGGAAAGAAAUGCAUCACGCUAAUACCGUGGUGUGAUGACGGUACCCGAAGAAUAAGCACCGGCUAACUACGUG
Molecule: ribosomal RNA, 486 nt
Filed under: uncultured bacterium
Lineage: Bacteria
Description: partial 16S ribosomal RNA
Rfam family: Bacterial small subunit ribosomal RNA
Source: RNAcentral